RNAcentral lists this ribosomal RNA (542 nucleotides) under uncultured bacterium. RNAcentral's name for it is "bacterial SSU rRNA". It matches the Rfam family "Bacterial small subunit ribosomal RNA", at positions 234 to 795 of the family's 1533-position model. The record is from RNAcentral.
CGGCCCAUAAGGUAAUUGGUAGGGUAACGGCCUACCAAGGCGAAGACGGUUAGGGGGUUUGAGAGCAUGGCCCCCCACAAUGGGAUUGAGAGACGGCCCAUAAUCCUACGGGAGCAGCAGCAGGGGAUAUGCACCAAUGACGGGAAGUCUGAUGCAGCGACGCCGCGUGGAUGAUGAAGGCCUUCGGUUGUAAAAUCCUUUUCGGGGGGAAGAGGAAGGACGGUACCCCCGGAAUAAGCGUCGGCUAACUACGUGCCAGCAGCCGCGGUAUACGUAGGACGCGAGCGUUAUCCGGAUUUACUGGGCGUAAAGCGUCUGUAGGCGGAGGCGUAAGUUGGGCGUGAAAGCUCCGGGCUUAACCCGGAGAGGCCGUUCAAUACUGCGCAACUAGAGGGCGUGAGAGGGGAGCGGAAUUCCCGGUGUAGCGGUAAAAUGCGCAGAUAUCGGGAGGAACACCAGUGGCGCAGGCGGCCCCCUGGACGAAGACUGACGCUCAGGUGCGAAAGCGUGGGGAGCAAACAGGAUUAGAUAGCCUGGUAGUC